GGGUCUGUAGCUCAGCUGGUUAGAGCACUGUGUUGAUAACGCAGGGGUCGUUCGAAGCAACUAGACCCACCA
RNAcentral lists this transfer RNA (72 nucleotides) under Staphylococcus epidermidis. Its description in RNAcentral is "tRNA-Ile". It matches the Rfam family "tRNA". Rfam says of the family: Transfer RNA (tRNA) molecules are approximately 80 nucleotides in length. Their secondary structure includes four short double-helical elements and three loops (D, anti-codon, and T loops). Lineage: Bacteria; Bacillati; Bacillota; Bacilli; Caryophanales; Staphylococcaceae. The record is from RNAcentral.